CGCAAGUCUGAACCAGCCAUGUCGCGUGCAGGAUGACGGCCCUAUGGGUUGUAAACUGCUUUUUUACAGGAAUAAACGUUGCUACGUGUAGUGAUUUGAAUGUACUGUAUGAAUAAGGAUCGGCUAACUCCGUGCCAGCAGCCGCGGUAAUACGGAGGAUUCGAGCGUUAUCCGGAUUUAUUGGGUUUAAAGGGUCCGUAGGCGGUUCUUUAAGUCAGUGGUGAAAUCCCAGAGCUCAACUCUGGAACUGCCAUUGAAACUGAAGAACUUGAAUAUGGUUGAGGUAGGCGGAAUACGUUAUGUAGCGGUGAAAUGCAUAGAUAUAACGUAGAACACCAAUUGCGAAGGCAGCUUACUAAACCAUUAUUGACGCUGAUGGACGAAAGCGUGGGGAGCGAACAGGAUUAGAUACCCUGGUAGUCC
RNAcentral lists this ribosomal RNA (423 nucleotides) under uncultured bacterium. Its description in RNAcentral is "bacterial SSU rRNA". It matches the Rfam family "Bacterial small subunit ribosomal RNA", at positions 376 to 796 of the family's 1533-position model. The record is from RNAcentral.